GUGGGGAAUCUUGCGUAAUGGGCGAAAGCCUGACGCAGCCAUGCCGCGUGAAUGAUGAAGGUCUUAGGAUUGUAAAAUUCUUUCACCGGGGACGAUAAUGACGGUACCCGGAGAAGAAGCUCCGGCUAACUUCGUGCCAGCAGCCUCGGUAAUACGAAGGGGGCUAGCGUUGCUCGGAAUUACUGGGCGUAAAGGGCGCGUAGGCGGACAGCUUAGUCAGAGGUGAAAGCCCAGGGCUCAACCUUGGAAUUGCCUUUGAUACUGGCUGUCUUGAGUUUGGGAGAGGUGAGUGGAACUCCGAGUGUAGAGGUGAAAUUCGUAGAUAUUCGGAAGAACACCAGUGGCGAAGGCGACUCACUGGCCCAAUACUGACGCUGAGGCGCGAAAGCGUGGGGAGCAAACAGGAUUAGAUACCCCUGUAGUCC
RNAcentral lists this ribosomal RNA (425 nucleotides) under uncultured bacterium. RNAcentral describes it as "partial 16S ribosomal RNA". It matches the Rfam family "Bacterial small subunit ribosomal RNA", at positions 354 to 796 of the family's 1533-position model. The record is from RNAcentral.